GAAAAUGCUUCACGAGAAUGUCAUUAACAUUAACACAUAAAUCAAUUUAAUUAUUUUCUUUCUCCUUAUUUCACAUAUUUUUAUGUUUAAAAUAAUGGUAUUGUAACGUGUUACACUUAAAUUGUCUAAUGUCAUAUGAUAUCAUGUCGCGCAAGUGUAAUAUGAAAAAAUAAUAGAAUUCAUAACUCAAUUAUCAGAAACAUUGUACUAUAUCGGGGUUGGCUUUGAACUCUAAAAUUUUUCACUUAACAAGUGAAUUUUUAAUUAUUAGACAAUUUAAUAAGAAAAAAAUUAUGCCCUUACCCUGUUUCAUCACACCUAAGAAUUUGUUUUAGACAAACUUAAGAAAAACUUAUUUGACAAGAACACUAUGCAAAACGAUUUAUGAAAAAAAGAAAAAAGAAUUUGACUUGAUAAAUAAUAAAAAACACAAAUUUCAUUCAUUUUUCAAGAUAUGCAACAAGGGGUUCUUGCUAAGCAUAAUUUGGUUUUAUAGUUCAUAUUUUGAAGUUUGAAGGCAAUCCUACGUAAAUAUUGUCUGCAGGUACCUAAUAUGUGAGACUAAUCUCUUAUGCUAAACUCCUAUUUGAGGAGUAUCAGUUGCUAAAUGUGAGAGGCUAGUUCCUUAUGCUAAAUGGUUGAAAAUUGAAAUACCAACACGCAUAAAAUAAAAAACACCAA
RNAcentral lists this long non-coding RNA (681 nucleotides) under Medicago truncatula (barrel medic). Its description in RNAcentral is "lncRNA gene5075". The record is from RNAcentral. Lineage: Eukaryota; Viridiplantae; Streptophyta; Magnoliopsida; Fabales; Fabaceae.